RNAcentral lists this long non-coding RNA (6394 nucleotides) under Triticum aestivum (bread wheat). RNAcentral's name for it is "long non-coding RNA (TAES_LNC004178)". The record is from RNAcentral. Lineage: Eukaryota; Viridiplantae; Streptophyta; Magnoliopsida; Poales; Poaceae.
AAAUAUGUAGUACAAGACCAUUGUGGCCUAUGAGUACAACACUUGGUUUCUAGUGGUUGAUGGCGGAAGCGGUUUGGGGUUCAUCUGCGUCUAUGGGACUCCAUUUCCCACAAGAACAGCUGACCAGGAUAACUCCUAUCUUCGCGAGGCUGCUAUCACCUUUACAUAGGUUCCGGGGCUGUCGUCGUAACGCUCUUCUCCACGCAAGAAAUCUGGCCAAGACAAUAGCCAGGGACAAGCCAGUGAGUAUGUUUGAAUGUACUCGCAAACAUUUAGAACACGGCUAUAAUAUAACAAGGGGUAAUCAUGCUCCGAAAAUAUUCUAUGACCAUAACGUUAGUCACGAGAUAAACAAAAUUCAUGAUGCACGCAUGCAAGUUAUUCAUGUAAAAUGCAUUACGGGAGUAGACAUAGAAUGCAUCGAUCGAGUGUCUGAAGCGACGCCUCGAAAGGAAAAAAAAUCAUGCCUCAGUCGGGCGUCUGAGCGACACCACAUAAAGGGCUUAUAAAUAAAAGAAAUAACAAGCAUGCCACAGUCGGGCGUCUAUGCGACACCACAUAAAGGGCUUAUAAAUAAAAGAAAUAACAAGCAUGCCACAGUCGGGCGUCUAUGCGACACCACAUAAAGGGCUUAUAAAUAAAAGAAAUAACAAGCAUGCCACAGUCGGGCGUCUAUGCGACACCACAUAAAGGGCUUAUAAAUAAAAGAAAUAACAAGCAUGCCACAGUCGGGCGUCUAUGCGACACCACAUAAAGGACUUAUAAAUAAAAGAAAUAACAAGCAUGCCACAGUCGGGCGUCUAUGCGACACCACAUAAAGGGCUUAUAAAGGAUAAUUAAAUAACAAGCAUGCCGCAGUCGGGCGUCUGAGCGACACCACAUAAAGGGCUUAUAAAGGAUAAUCACAGUGAAUAUCCAGGAGGUAGAACCGUCCCAGGGAUACUCAAUAAUUCAAAUAAUGCAAAUGGUUAGUCCAUAAUAAUAGUAAUCAUAAUCGUCACAUGUCACAAGUCAUAAUCCAAGUUCUGGUUUAACAGUUUUUCCUCCGAAGACCGACACUAAGACCGACACUUGACCCAUCCCAAACUGUAGUCCUUAACCAUGGACACGGCUAUUCGAAUAGAGGUAUAAUCUCUGCAGAGGGUGUACUCUUUACCCACGGGUAACGGAUUUCUUUAGUCCGUCGGCACUAAUUCCGUCUACGGUCUUUUAAUUGAAAACACGCCUGACCUGCACACACCAGCUUAACUUACCGGUGUCUGGAAUCACCCACGACACCUGUCAAGCGAAACUCUAAGUGGGGAGGCUACAACCUCGACGUAGCAUGGGAUCACAAAAUUUAUACCGCGCGCAAACUAGGGGAGCUACCCCUUCGGUUACAACCGAAACACCCAUGCCCCCGGACCGGAUGACUGGCUUUAAUCCAUGGCCAUGGGACCCUCAUCACGGCCUCUCUGUACGGUGUGUGCUAGAAAGGGGUUGACAACUUACUGAACCGUACCCUACCUAUGGCAGGGACAAGUGGUAGUACGAAGCAAGUGUGGGGGUUACUGGACAAGACUCGAUCUAAGGCCGACUCAGGAGGUUCAAGUGUUCCCUGCAUGAUUAGCAUAACAAAAAUAUUCCAAUAACAGAUAAGCUUAACACUCAUCAAGCUCCACCAUGCCAUACCGGGCAUACUCGUCUCAACGAGGGACUAGGGACAAGCUCGCGUCUACCCAAGACCGCGACUUUCCCGACUUCCUUCCGGCAUGCAUGAGAAGCUUACGAGGACGAUCACUAUCACCAGCAUAUCCAUUUAUAACAGCAAGGAAAACUCCAUUUUUCACUCAUGCGUAUGAUCUUACCGUCACAUAAAAUAGCGUAUGCUCCAAGUCAAGGUGAUGUUGUAACCGUAUCAACAACAUCCAAAAAUAUUAAGCCAGGGUUCAGAAUGCUUGCCUUCAAGUGUAUGCAUGUGGGGGUGCACUUUUUGAAGGUUGCCUUUUCUCCAAAAUCCUAUUUUGAGAAAUAUUCAAAUAACACACAUUUCAAAUACAGUACAAAAAGUUGUCCCAAAUAUUUUUGAAAUAAAUCUUAAAAUAAACUAGAUGAAAUUUGAGAGAGGUAGGAAAAAGAAUCAGCUCAUUUGGAGUUUUAUUUUAAAAGAUAUAGCCAGUCAAAGUUCUGUUUUUAAUAAAAUCAGAAAAAGAAAACGCUUCGGGGAGAAUACGCUUUCGAAGCAGAGGAGACGUACUCGGGAUUUUGCGCCAUCACUUAACCAGAGUGGAUGGGCGCGCGGGUCGCUGACAGUGGGUCCAGGGGGCCCACUGGUCAGGUUUGACUGGUCUUCCCUCCCUCCUCUCUCUCUGCCCGAACGGUGGCGGGCCUCCGGUGAUCGCCGUCGACGAACGGCGGCUCUUCGAGGGCACCUGAGGGCAGGGAUGGACCCGCCAGACCUGGGCGGUCCUCCCGGUGGUCGUUGGGCAGGUGGGGACGGAGGAAGUCACCGGCGGCGAGCUCCGCGGCGGACGGUGGUUCGGGAGCAAAGAGGGCUUCGGGCUAUGGUGGUCCUUGGUCGAGGCUGAGGCGCUAGGCAGCUCCGCAAGACUGUGGGGAGACGUUUGGUGGCGUUGGAUAGGCGGGGGAGGGUCCGGUUGCGACGCAUGGCACCGAGCUCGGCGGCGGCCGAACUGGCCGGAGACUAGGAAGGAAGCCCUUCCCCAUCGAUUGCUGGCUGCGGGAGUACUAUGGGGGUGUCCUGGGGUUGCCUGAGUGCUCAGAGGAGCUCGGGGCCUCCUUAUAUAGGCGCGACGGGGCUGGCUCCGCGGUGGUGGAUAAGAACGACGGCGAGUCGCCGUUCUGUAGCUGCAGGGCGUCGUGGCGGCGACGAGCGCGAGCCGACGAGCAUGUGGAUAGGAUCGGGCUGUUCCCAGGGGGCAGCUGGCGCGCGCGGGUGGCUUGGGCCGCGCCGUCCAUGGCAGAGCCCGCUGCCGACGCCGGCGUGCCGCCAAGGAAGCUCUGACGGCGGCGCUGUAGGGCGCCAGGGAGGCUUGGAGGUUUCUGACGAGUGGGCGAGUGCAUGGCGCGGCUCUGCAGGCGAGCAAGGGCCAGGGGUGUGACGCGGCGACCCGUGCGCACGCACGUGCAAAACGCGUGCUCUGGCCGCGCCCAGAGCACGCACACCAGGUGUUCGACGAAAAGCCAGCGCGCUCUAGAGAGCUUGGGUGAUGCGGGUAGUCAACAGGCCAGGGUUAGGGAUAGCUAGGAGGUUUGUGGACAUGCUGGAUGGGUCAGGGGCUCAAGUCCACAAUGCAAACUAGAAGACCUGCCAAAACUGUUCCUGCACACAGGGUGUUCUACAGAAUGCCAUGGGCAUCUAGGCAACUCUUGGGGUGGCCAAACUCUCCAGAUCCUAGUCUCUUUAGGAGCUCAAGAAGGUGGUAAGGUUAGUUUGGCAAAAACAGGAACUUGUUAGUGCAAGUUUUGAGAAAAUCAGUUUUGGGCAGAAACUAAAGGCUAUCAUUGCAUGCACUAAACAUACUCCAAUGGGUCCAAUCUCCUGGACUUAAGUGUUUGGUAGGGAGGACUAUAAGUAGGGAAAAAGCUGAUGGGUACUAGAGCAAAAUAAAAUGGGGUUGCAGUACAAAUCACCAAACUGGACCAGAAUGGAAAUGAAGAUGUUUCACUCAAAUCUUUCAUAGAACAACACUGGGUUUUUGCAUGAAGUUGCAUUAUGAGCAUCUACUGACAUCUCCAAACCCUUGGAAGAAUUUUUAGAAGAAUAUUUAAAUAGGUUGUAGUGCAAAAAUACCUACUGGACCAGAUUUGAAAAAAUUGAUGUAGAGCUCAAAUCUCCAAUAACCCAAAGAUAUUUUUGCAUAAAAGUGAUGUGGAAGCCUCACAUGACCUCCCCAAAUUUUGGUGAAAAUUUUAAAUGUAUUUAUCAAAAGGUUGCAGUGAAAAAGGGGCUCCAAAUUUAUGAAAGAUCAUUUUAAAAGAAUCAAGCUCAUGAAAAACAAUUAUGCAAAUAAAUCCACUGAUAAAGAAUUGUUUUUAUAAAGAGUGCAUACAAGUCCAAUAAUACUUUUGAAGAGUUUCCACUAAAGGUAAAAACCCACGAUAUUAAAGAGAAGAGGGGUUCUGAAAUCAAAGGAGAAAUCCAGAAAAAUAAAAAUUUAAUUUCCUGGCAAAAUUUUAAUUAAUAAAACAAGGUCAAAUUUUUGGGGUGUUACAACACUACCCCCCUUAAGAAAAAUCUCGUCCUCGAGAUUUGCUAAGGGUUGUUUUUUUUAAAUAAUACUCCCAUUAGUUGAAACCAAGAGUUUGCUCAUAGCACGAAUUUAGGGUACAAACAUAAGCUGCAACACACAAAUAAACAUAGCUAUGAUGUUUAUAAUGAAAAUGGCAAAAGGACAGGGUCCUGAGAAAACGUCUUUGGUACUGGGGCGCACAAGCAGACAUCCUUUAAUAAUGGUGAUACAGGAUCACACAAUUACAAGGCGUAGAAAAUAAUAAGGCUCGUUACUACUCGAGUGACUUAGUCUACUCCGUUAAUAUCUAAGCGGGCUUGCCUAGUGGACGAUGAAGCUUCUCCACGGGUUUCACCGUCGGGAUUAGCCGGAUGAGGUUGCGUGGCUGCUGGGUCGGGGUAGCGAUGAUGACCAUCGCGGGGGUUGUUGGCCACAACCCCGUUGGAGUGUGUUCCCAAAAGGCAGCGAAGCACUUCUGGGGACAUCAAAGUAUUUUGGUCGAUGGCUGGGGCAGACCUCAAGGGCUCGAUUGGGUGUCCGAACAGCACGACUGGGUUGUCGGCGUCGGGCUCCACUUCUCCUCUCGCCGAGGCUCGGCGAAACAGUUCUCCACGAGCUGCGAUCAGAUCAAGAGUGAUUUGAUCGAACAGCUCCUCUAGUGCACUUACAUAGCGCACCAGAUGCAAUAGUGCAGGAUCUGUCUCAUGAUCUCCGUUGGCAACCUGGGGUGGCCUACCAUACCCGUUACGACUGGGGUAGUAGUAGAACGAGCGACAGUUAACUCUGGGCGACAAGUGCCGGAGUUGAACUAUAGCUUCUCGAGCUGCCAGUUGGAUGGCUUGUGGCUCAAAGGAAGUGGUCCUUCCAGUGAACCUGUAGGGGCGUUCUGGCGAUAGACCCCUACCAUAAAUGUGUACAGUGGCCCAGAACUGACGGCUCUCACCGCCCAUGAGUUCUUGGUACACAACAUAUUCUGGGGGCUCUCCUAAUGCAUAGGCACGGCGAGUGAGGUUUGCGAGCACGGUCACAAAACCUCCAAGGUUGGUUGAUGUGGUCUCAUUGUGAACAAUGGGGCCAGGCAUCGUGACUUGGCUUGGGAAAGAGGCUGUGCUGUGCUGGGUUGAGGCUAGCGUGCCCUUUUUAUAGAAAAAGGGGCGGAGUCUUCCUUCGCACGCUUGCGAAUGAGACAAGUUAGGUGUCGGUCACUGGCGCGUGAUCGACAGGCUAAGCUGAUAGGUUGGGCACCGACUGCCAAAAGCGUCGGGGUCACUGUGUGGCUAUCUUACACGAGAAGCUUGGCCGGGGUUAGGUUAAGGUCUGGUGGGUUGGUUAACCUAGGUUUAUUGCCCUGGCUAAGAUAGGGUUAGCCAAUGGUCAGCCUGGUUCUGAUACCAAGUCUGUCAGGACCGGAUUUUUGGGAUAUUAAUUCUCCAGAAAAUGGCCCUUGUGCUCACCAGCCCCAGGAUUACUGUUAGCUGAUGAGGCACCAACUUGAUACAAGAAAUUCCAAGCAAGUACAAAAUAUGUAGUACAAGACCAUUGUGGCCUAUGAGUACAACACUUGGUUUCUAGUGGUUGAUGGCGGAAGCGGUUUGGGGUUCAUCUGCGUCUAUGGGACUCCAUUUCCCACAAGAACAGCUGACCAGGAUAACUCCUAUCUUCGCGAGGCUGCUAUCACCUUUACAUGGGUUCCGGGGCUGUCGUCGUAACGCUCUUCUCCACGCAAGAAAUCUGGCCAAGACAAUAGCCAGGGACAAGCCAGUGAGUAUGUUUGAAUGUACUCGCAAACAUUUAGAACAUGGCUAUAAUAUAACAAGGGGUAAUCAUGCUCCGAAAAUAUUCUAUGACCAUAACGUUAGUCACGAGAUAAACAAAAUUCAUGAUGCACACAUGCAAGUUAUUCAUGUAAAAUGCAUUACGGGAGUAGACAUAGAAUGCAUCGAUCGAGUGUCUGAAGCGACGCCUCGAAAGGAAAAAAAUCAUGCCUCAGUCGGGCGUCUGAGCGACACCACAUAAAGGGCUUAUAAAUAAAAGAAAUAACAAGCAUGCCACAGUCGGGCGUCUAUGCGACACCACAUAAAGGGCUUAUAAAUAAAAGAAAUAACAAGCAUGCCACAGUCGGGCGUCUAUGCGACACCACAUAAAGGGCUUAUAAAUAAAAG